UACGAAGGGAGCUAGCGUUACUCGGAAUCAUUGGGCGUAAAGCGUGCGUAGGCGGCUUUAUAAGUCGGAAGUGAAAGCCUGGGGCUCAACCCCAGAAUUGCUUUCGAAACUGUAGAGCUAGAAUACCAGAGGGGAUGGCGGAAUUCCUAGUGUAGAGGUGAAAUUCGUAGAUAUUAGGAGGAACACCGGUGGCGAAGGCGGCCAUCUGGCUGGUUAUUGACGCUGUUGCACGAAAGCGUGGGGAGCAAACAGG
This 253-nucleotide ribosomal RNA is filed under the name uncultured bacterium. RNAcentral describes it as "partial 16S ribosomal RNA". It matches the Rfam family "Bacterial small subunit ribosomal RNA", at positions 524 to 776 of the family's 1533-position model. The record is from RNAcentral.